RNAcentral lists this ribosomal RNA (333 nucleotides) under uncultured bacterium. RNAcentral describes it as "bacterial SSU rRNA". It matches the Rfam family "Bacterial small subunit ribosomal RNA", at positions 28 to 355 of the family's 1533-position model. The record is from RNAcentral.
GACGAACGCUGGCGGCGUGCUUAACACAUGCAAGUGGAGCGACGAACCAGGCUUCGGCCUGGGGCAGAGCCGCGAACGGGUGAGUAACACGUGGGUAACCUGCCCCAAUGACCGGGACAACUCGGGGAAACUCGAGCUAAUACCGGAUGUGCCUUCUUCACAUCAGUGAUGAAUGGAAAGGAAGCUUCGGCCUCCGCGUUGGGAUCGGCCCGCGGCGCAUUAGCUUGNGGUGAGGUAACGGCUCACCAAGGCCGCGAUGCGUAGCUGGUCUGAGAGGACGAUCAGCCACACUGGGACUGAGACACGGCCCAGACUCCUACGGGAGGCAGCAGU